Molecule: transfer RNA, 69 nt
Filed under: Ictidomys tridecemlineatus (thirteen-lined ground squirrel)
Lineage: Eukaryota; Metazoa; Chordata; Mammalia; Rodentia; Sciuridae
Description: Spermophilus tridecemlineatus (thirteen-lined ground squirrel) tRNA
Rfam family: tRNA
About the family: Transfer RNA (tRNA) molecules are approximately 80 nucleotides in length. Their secondary structure includes four short double-helical elements and three loops (D, anti-codon, and T loops). Further hydrogen bonds mediate the characteristic L-shaped molecular structure. tRNAs have two regions of fundamental functional importance: the anti-codon, which is responsible for specific mRNA codon recognition, and the 3' end, to which the tRNAs corresponding amino acid is attached (by aminoacyl-tRNA synthetases). tRNAs cope with the degeneracy of the genetic code in two manners: having more than one tRNA (with a specific anti-codon) for a particular amino acid; and 'wobble' base-pairing, i.e. permitting non-standard base-pairing at the 3rd anti-codon position.
Source: Rfam by way of RNAcentral
GGGGAUGUGGCUCAGUGAUAGAGCACUUGCCUCGCAUGUGUGAGGCACUGAGUUCAAUCCUCAGCACCA